UAUCGGUUGAACAUGUUAAAAUUCAAUAACAAUUCAGAACUUUAGGGAUUGUGAUAUUUCUAAAUUAUUGGUAAUAGUUUCGAAAAGUUCAUUUGCUUAAGUUUAUAAAAUUAAGUUUAGUGCUUUUGCACAAAAAUUCUUUUUAAUAAACCUCCGUCUUUGGAGUCAUCACUCCAAUCGCUUUGUAUCUGCAGACCAUCUUUAUCAUUUUCCACUGCCGAUGUCAAACAAUCAGACCGUCCUCCAGACCAAUCAAUAAUCCCAAAAGCUCCAUUUGAGUGGCAUAAACAAAAUUGCCCACAGAUCCGAAGAAGCCAGCAUGUCAAGUAGCAGCGAUGAUGCUUAGGUGCUGGAAAAUGGCAGACAGCAAGUGAAACUGCACACGAAACUGGGAACUGGGAUCUGGAAACUGGCAAUACGCAAAUGGUGAAACUGUCCAUUAACAGAAAAGAAAUAAAAGUUAAACAAGAACAACAGGGAAACAAUAAGGUGGACGGGCUGCAGAAAAAAAGUUGAAAUCCUUUAUUGUCCAUUGUCGGCCAUGGAGUUCUCUAUCAGAAUGCCUUAAUUAAGAACGCUCGGAGUGUGGCCAAAGAGUCAGACUUCAUUUCGAUUUUUAACAGCGCAGCUGUUACCAAAAACCCAACGAUUCCAUUCGCCUGAAAAACUCAACCCAACCAACCAGCCCCACUUCGUCCUGUCAGGGAAAAAAUGGAAACCAACAAUUUGCAGUUUACAUUUAACAGCAGAUCGAGGGGCGGUGGGGCAUGGGACACGUUAUUGGAAAAGCAGUGAAAAUUGGUUUGUUUGACGGCCCGAUGUCUGGCGGAAUAACAUAGCCCCGCACCUAUACACAUACACACUCAAGCUCACACACAGCGAACGUAUAUUAUAUAUCGCAUAUAGUUACCGUCAUUGUCGAAAACUCUCGGAUAGCAGAAGAAAUUACAUCGAUAGCGGAAAAACUUUACGAUCAAGAAAAAAUAAAAAUAAAAUGAUGAGCGCCCAACCACCGAUAGCUAGUCAAUCAGGACCCUUAUAUUGAGUUGCAUUUUUUGUGUCUCUUCAUAAAUUAACCGUGCUAGAGGAUUCCAAUCAUGUCGCUGCCACUGAAAGUAUUAACAAAAAAUAU
Drosophila sechellia is the source of this 1132-nucleotide long non-coding RNA. RefSeq lists it as uncharacterized. The transcript is spliced from 3 exons. The record is from RefSeq and is a predicted model, not a curated record. Lineage: Eukaryota; Metazoa; Arthropoda; Insecta; Diptera; Drosophilidae.